RNAcentral lists this ribosomal RNA (496 nucleotides) under uncultured bacterium. RNAcentral describes it as "partial 16S ribosomal RNA". It matches the Rfam family "Bacterial small subunit ribosomal RNA", at positions 29 to 507 of the family's 1533-position model. The record is from RNAcentral.
AUGAACGCUGGCGGCGUGCCUAAUACAUGCAAGUCGAGCGAACGGACGAGAAGCUUGCUUCUCUGAUGUUAGCGGCGGACGGGUGAGUAACACGUGGAUAACCUACCUAUAAGACUGGGAUAACUUCGGGAAACCGUAGCUAAUACCGGAUAAUAUUUUGAACCGCAUGGUUCAAAAGUGAAAGACGGUCUUGCUGUCACUUAUAGAUGGAUCCGCGCUGCAUUAGCUAGUUGGUAAGGUAACGGCCUACCAAGGCAACGAUGCAUAGCCGACCUGAGAGGGUGAUCGGCCACACUGGAACUGAGACACGGUCCAGACUCCUACGGGAGGCAGCAGUAGGGAAUCUUCCGCAAUGGGCGAAAGCCUGACGGAGCAACGCCGCGUGAGUGAUGAAGGUCUUCGGAUCGUAAAACUCUGUUAUUAGGGAAGAACAUAUGUGUAAGUAACUGUGCACAUCUUGACGGUACCUAAUCAGAAAGCCACGGCUAACUACGUG